Molecule: non-coding RNA, 81 nt
Filed under: Legionella shakespearei DSM 23087
Lineage: Bacteria; Pseudomonadati; Pseudomonadota; Gammaproteobacteria; Legionellales; Legionellaceae
Description: Legionella RNA 69
Rfam family: Legionella RNA 69
Source: Rfam by way of RNAcentral
AGACAGCGCUAUCGCGCUUCCUCAGCCCGAACGGCAUCGAAGUAACGACUGGAUAAAAAAACUUCUUAUCCAUAACUCACA